CUUCAGCAUCAACUUCUUCAGGCAUACGCUUCCUGGCGGAGUAAAGAUGUGAUUCAUAGACCGUACAUGUGGACUCAUGGUCUGAAUGCUCCACAACACCUUUCAAUAGAACCAAAUGAUCCUCCUGCUUUCCUUUGUCUUUCAAUUCAUUGUAAAAAGAGCUUGUAAAAGGAACUCAACAUUUUGUUUCCAGAUACAAAGAGUAUGUAGGUACUUGAGGUUUAUCAACUACCUGGCCUAUGUCCACAGAGUAUCUGACAUUGCCAAAGUUGGUUGAAAGAGGAGCAAAUGGGAGUACCAUUCCAUGCAUCUUUUUCUCGACAAAAAUUCUGUCUGUAAUGUUUACAAUAUUUCAGAAGGUAUAAAACUCAAUUUUGUUUCUUGUUGACAGCAAGAGGACUGAAAUAUACAAGUUUUUCACCUUCUUGGCCUGCACCACCCUUGGACGAACCAGAUCGUGAAAAUAAUAAUUCGGCUUUUGAAGGUAGUAUCUUAAGGCUUGCUCCUGUUAUAUCUGCUUGCUUCUUUGUCAAUGUCUCUUCAGAAAUGGUAGUCAGAUCUUUUCCAAAUGCUGUGGCAAUCUAUCGAGUUAGCACAAUAAUUUCAAGUUUAAAUGGUGAAACUUCAGCUUUUGAUACUUACGGUCAACCAGUCAAGAAAGAAAAUGAAGAGGGGGUUGAACGGGAAAAUGUAUCCAAUAAGUGCAUCCAUACUUAUCCAAUACUAAUUAGAAGAUCUUCAGAAUAAGGCAUUGAAUAGGAAAAUGUAUCCUCAGAAAGAAAACAAAGAUCCCGCAAAUCUUCAGAAUCUCAACUCCCGAAGUGCCUUAUAGGAACAUAUUGUGCCAUGAAGACUUUUUUAAGCAUGAUCUCCAAAGAGAAACUGAUUAAGAGACGCUUGUCGAGGAAGUUAUGGCUUACCUUAUUCUAAGUAUGCCCAAGAAAUUCAUUCACAGCUAUUGUUAUUUUUGCAUACAUCAACGGAGAGGAACAAUAAAUGCUUGGCUUGUGAGUUCUGCACACCGCUGUCCUACCAGUGUCCACAGUGUUUGGAAUAUGUCAAUGGUUGGCUUGUGAGUUCUGCACACCGCUGUCCUACCAGUGUCCACAGUGUUUGGAAUAUGUCAAUGGUUGGCUUGUGAGUUCUGCACACCGCUGUCCUACCAGUGUCGACAGUGUUACUUACUGCCAUCUUCACAAUGGUUGAGGCCCUUACAUCAAGCCCAGAGGUUUGUUCAUAAAAAAAUAUUAUAGAUGUGUUGGCAACAAACUAUAGGGCAAUUGCCAGUCUCUUUCGAUGCUCGGUUGACAAGCCAUUCACUCCAGGUGAUCCUACAAGCGCACCCUCAGUAUCUUCAGCUCCACGAGUUCCAUGACCUCCUAAAAGAACAAUUGCAGUUAUUCAUUGAUUUAUACUAGUCACUUCCUUGCCGAAGUAAGUAAGAUUUCCUUUCUUUAGAUUUUUUUCCUUACUGACCUUUCUUGCUUCAGCAUCAACUUCUUCAGGCAUACGCUUCCUGGCGGAGUAAAGAUGUGAUUCAUAGACCGUACAUGUGCUCUGCUAACACCCAUCAAUGCUGCUAGGACUCAUGGUCUGAAUGCUCCACAACACCUUUCAAUAGAACCAAAUGAUCCUCC
Long non-coding RNA from Phalaenopsis equestris, 1637 nucleotides. RefSeq lists it as uncharacterized. Lineage: Eukaryota; Viridiplantae; Streptophyta; Magnoliopsida; Asparagales; Orchidaceae. The record is from RefSeq and is a predicted model, not a curated record. The transcript is spliced from 3 exons.